AUUGAACGCUGGCGGCAGGCCUAACACAUGCAAGUCGAAUGGAAACAGGAAACAGCUUCCUGUUUUGCUGAGCGGUGGCGGACGGGUGAGUUAUGUAUGGGCAACUUCGUGAUGGAGGGGGAUCACUACUGGAAACGGAUGCUAAUUCCGCACAACGUCGCAAGCUCAAGGAGGGGGACCUUCGGGGCUCUUGCCUUUAGCUAUGUCCAAAUGGGAUUUGUUUGUAGGUGGGGUAACGGCUCACCCCGGCGGCGAUCCGUAGUUGGUGUGAGAGGAUGAACAGCCACACUGGAACUGAGACACGGUCCAGACUCCUACGGGAGGCAGCAGUGGGGAAUAUUGGACAAUGGGCGGAAGCCUGAUGCAGCCAUGCCGCGUGUGUGAAGAAGGUCUUCGGGUUGUAAAGUACUUUCAGUUGGGAGGAAGGGAGUAAAGUUAAUACCUUGGCGCAUUGACGUUACCCGCAGAAGAAGCACCGGCUAACUCCGUG
This 490-nucleotide ribosomal RNA is filed under the name uncultured bacterium. Its description in RNAcentral is "partial 16S ribosomal RNA". It matches the Rfam family "Bacterial small subunit ribosomal RNA", at positions 30 to 507 of the family's 1533-position model. The record is from RNAcentral.